GUUCGAUUAUGGCUCAGAUUGAACGCUGGCGGGAUGCUUUUACACAUGCAAGUCGAACGGCAGCACGGACUUCGGUCUGGUGGCGAGUGGCGAACGGGUGAGUAAUGUAUCGGAACGUGCCUAGUAGCGGGGGAUAACUACGCGAAAGCGUAACUAAUACAUACGCCCUUCGAGAAAGCGGGGGACCUUCGGGCCUCGCCACUGACCGACGGCCGAUAUCGGAUUAGCUGAAAAAGUUGGUGGGGUAACGGCUCGCAAGGCGACGAUCCGUAGCUGGUUUGAAGGACGACCAGCCACACUGGGACUGAGACACGGCCCAGACUCCACUACGGGAAGGCAGCAGUGGGAAUUUUGGACAAUGAGGAAACCUGAUCCAGCCAUCCCGCGUGUGCGAUAGGGCCUUCGGGUUGUAAAGCACUUUUGGCAGGAAAAGAAGCAGCGCAGGAUGUACACGUGCAACUGACGGUACCUGCCAAAUAAGCACCGGCUAACUACGUGCCAACAGCCGCGGUAAUACGCUGAGUGCAAGCAUUAAUCGGAAUUACUGGGCGUAAAGCGUGCGCAGGCGGUUCAGGAAGAAAGAUGCUUGAAAUCCCAGAGCUUAACACUGAACUGCAUUUUAACUACCGAGCUGAAGUGUGUCAGAGGGAGGUGGAAUUCCGCGUGUAGCAGUGAAAUGCGUAGAUAUGCGGAGGAACACCGAUGGCGAAGGCAGCCUCCUGGGAUAACACUGACGCUCAUGCACGAAAAGCGUGGGAGCAAACAGGAUUAGAUACCCUGAUGAUCCCGCCUAAACGUCAACUAGCUGUUGGGGCCUUCGGGCCUUGGUAGCGCAGCUAACGCGUGAAGUUGACCGCCUGGGAGUACGGUCGCAAGAUUGAAACUCAAAGGAAUUGACGGGGACCCGCACAAGCGAUUGGAUGAUGUGGAUUAAUUCGAUGCAACGCGAAAAACCUUACCUACCUUGACAUGUCUGGAAUCCCGAAGAGAUUUGGGAGUGCUCAUCAAGAGAACCGGAACACAGGUGCUGCAUAUGGCUGUCGUCAGCUCGUGUCGUGAGAUGUUGAAAGGUUAAGUCCCGCAACGAGCGCAACCCUUGUCAUUAGUUGCUACGAAGGAACGCUAAUGAGACUGCCGGUGAUAAACCGGAGGAAGGUGGGGAUGACGUCAGAGUCUUAUAAGCCCUUAUGGGUAGGGCUUACGUCAUACAAUGGUCGGGACAGGGUCGCCAACCCGCGAGGGAGCCAAUCCCAGAAACCCGAUCAUGGUCCGGAUCGCAGUCUGCAACUCGACUGCGUGAAGUCGGAAUCGCUAGUAAUCGCGGAUCAGCAUGUCGCCCGUGGGAGUGAAUACGUUCCCGGGUCUUGUACACACCGCCCGUCACCACCAUGGGGGAGUGGGUUUUACCAGAGAGUAGUUAAGCCUAACCGUAAGGAGGGCGAUUACCGCGGCCAGAAGUUCAUGGCUGGGGUGAAGUCAUGCUGUCAGGUAG
RNAcentral lists this ribosomal RNA (1492 nucleotides) under uncultured Bordetella sp. Its description in RNAcentral is "partial 16S-23S ribosomal RNA intergenic spacer". It matches the Rfam family "Bacterial small subunit ribosomal RNA". The record is from RNAcentral. Lineage: Bacteria; Pseudomonadati; Pseudomonadota; Betaproteobacteria; Burkholderiales; Alcaligenaceae.